GAUGAAGAACGUAGCGAAAUGCGAUAAGUAAUGUGAAUUGCAGAAUUCAGUGAAUCAUCGAAUCUUUGAACGCACAUUGCGCCCGCCAGUAUUCUGGCGGGCAUGCCUGUUCGAGCGUCAUUUCAACCAUCAAGCCCCCGGCUUGUGUUGGGGACCUGCGGCUGCCGCAGGCCCUGAAAAGCAGUGGCGGGCUCGCUGUCACACCGAGCGUAGUAGCAUACAUCUCGCUCUGGGCGUGCUGCGGGUUCCGGCCGUUAAACCACCUUCAUAACCCAAGGUUGACCUCGGAUCAGGUAGGAAGACCCGCUGAACUUAAGCAUAUCUAUAAGCGGAGGA
RNAcentral lists this unclassified non-coding RNA (336 nucleotides) under soil metagenome. RNAcentral describes it as "partial contains 5.8S ribosomal RNA, internal transcribed spacer 2, and large subunit ribosomal RNA". The stretch from base 1 to 120 matches the Rfam family "5.8S ribosomal RNA", at positions 35 to 154 of the family's 154-position model. The record is from RNAcentral.